UUUAAUUGAAGAGUUUGAUCAUGGCUCAGAUUGAACGCUGGCGGCAGGCCUAACACAUGCAAGUCGAGCGGAAACGAAGAGGUGCUUGCACCUCUGGCGUCGAGCGGCGGACGGGUGAGUAAUGCUUGGGAACAUGCCUUGAGGUGGGGGGCAACCGUUGGAAACGACGGCU
This 172-nucleotide ribosomal RNA is filed under the name Pseudoalteromonas ruthenica. Its description in RNAcentral is "partial 16S ribosomal RNA". It matches the Rfam family "Bacterial small subunit ribosomal RNA", at positions 1 to 164 of the family's 1533-position model. The record is from RNAcentral. Lineage: Bacteria; Pseudomonadati; Pseudomonadota; Gammaproteobacteria; Alteromonadales; Pseudoalteromonadaceae.